Molecule: unclassified non-coding RNA, 215 nt
Filed under: soil metagenome
Description: partial contains 5.8S ribosomal RNA, internal transcribed spacer 2, and large subunit ribosomal RNA
Source: RNAcentral
AACCUAGCACACCUGCGGUGUGUACCUGCGGAGGGAUCAUUAACAAGCUGUGGGAGAUCGAUCAAUUUGAUCUCACACCUGGCCAACCUUGUUAACCUUAAAUAUAUUGCUUUGGUGAGCCCUGCUCACCAAAGUCAAACCCUAAACUCUUGAUUGUUUCUGCUGUCUGAGCAUGCAAGUGCAAAAUUUAGUUAAAAACUUUUAGCAACGGAUCU